GACGAACGCUGGCGGCGUGCUUAACACAUGCAAGUCGAACGGAAAGGCCCUGCUUUUGUGGGGUGCUCGAGUGGCGAACGGGUGAGUAACACGUGAGUAACCUGCCCUUGACUUUGGGAUAACUUCAGGAAACUGGGGCUAAUACCGGAUAGGAGCUCCUGCUGCAUGGUGGGGGUUGGAAAGUUUCGGCGGUUGGGGAUGGACUCGCGGCUUAUCAGCUUGUUGGUGGGGUAGUGGCUUACCAAGGCUUUGACGGGUAGCUGGCCUGAGAGGGUGACCGGCCACAAUGGUACUGAGAUACGGCCCAGACUCCUACGGGAGGCAGCAGUGGGGAGUAUUGCACAAUGGGCGGAAGCCUGAGGCAGCAACGCCGCGUUCGGGAUGACAGCCUUCGGGUUGUAAACCGCUUUCGCCUGUGACGAAGCGUGAGUGGCGGUAAUGGGUAAAGAAGCACCGGCUAACUACGUG
This 468-nucleotide ribosomal RNA is filed under the name uncultured bacterium. RNAcentral's name for it is "partial 16S ribosomal RNA". It matches the Rfam family "Bacterial small subunit ribosomal RNA", at positions 28 to 507 of the family's 1533-position model. The record is from RNAcentral.